Molecule: unclassified non-coding RNA, 209 nt
Filed under: Hevea brasiliensis (rubber tree)
Lineage: Eukaryota; Viridiplantae; Streptophyta; Magnoliopsida; Malpighiales; Euphorbiaceae
Source: RNAcentral
GUAAAACUAUUCUUAAGGUCCUUACCUACAAGCUUAAGUUUUUCAGUUGAGUGGUUUCAUGACAUGUUCUUUAAUUUUUUAUUUUUGAGAGUUUCGGUUCGCACUAAUUUCACAUACUACCAACCGAAUUGAUAAGAUUCAUGAACUACGUUACGAAUUGGUAUUCCAUCUAAACUUACUCCCCACAUACCCUAUAUUUAGCUAAGUGG